Molecule: long non-coding RNA, 246 nt
Filed under: Salvia miltiorrhiza (redroot sage)
Lineage: Eukaryota; Viridiplantae; Streptophyta; Magnoliopsida; Lamiales; Lamiaceae
Description: long non-coding RNA (SMIL_LNC013414)
Source: RNAcentral
GGGGGUGGGGGUGGCUGGGUCUUGGUCAUGAGACCAUGGGCUUUUUUAAGUUUGGUAAUGGGUAUUAUUGGGUCUAUGGGUCUUAUAAUACCCAUGGGUAAUUAACCUACCCACACCCAUUAAUUUUUCACUUAAUGGUCUGGUCCGGUGUGGAUCCAUUAAGUAAUGGGUCGGUUCUGGUUCCGGAACCGUAACAAUUUUAAUGGUUCUGGUCCGGGUAAAACCCACCCAUUGACAUCCCUAAUU